UGUGAGUUUUCUGAGAGUGUCUCAUAUCUAAAACUUCUUCUCCUACUUCUCAUCUUUGGAAGAAUCCAAAUAAAAAAGAAGGAGGCAUCUGAUCGACCAUUUAAGAAGGAUCAGCAUAGUACUAGCAUACUGUGCUGAUUUCUUGGAUCAGGACUUCUGAUCGUGAUUCGUGGACUCGUGUGGAUGACUUCUAGAGGUUGG
RNAcentral lists this long non-coding RNA (201 nucleotides) under Elaeis guineensis (African oil palm). RNAcentral's name for it is "long non-coding RNA (EGUI_LNC045371)". The record is from RNAcentral. Lineage: Eukaryota; Viridiplantae; Streptophyta; Magnoliopsida; Arecales; Arecaceae.